CUGCGAUCACUAACAUGAGCUUUCGUGAGGUGUAAUUAAAUGCACACCGGGAGAAAGGCUUCAACAGUGAAGAGCUGUGAAGACAAGAAAUUGAGGAAUCAUACGAGUGUUGGCACUCUCCUGACCCUAUGGCAGACACUAUGAUUAGCCCUGUCUCAGCAGAGGACGUGAACAUAGACAGCCAAGAUGAAAAUCUAGAGUCUGUCUCCAGAAGCCACCCCCGAGCUGCCCUUUGCCAGGGCAGGUGGUGCUCACCUGUUCAGGUUUAUGCUGCUGUACAGUAUUGUAAAUGUAGCUCAAGCCAACACGAGUCAAAACGUAAGAGGCUUGCUCAUUUAUAAGAGUGUCCAAAUGGGCUUCAAUCUAAAAUAAAAUGCAGCAGGAAAAGCA
Peromyscus eremicus (cactus mouse) is the source of this 390-nucleotide long non-coding RNA. RefSeq lists it as uncharacterized. The record is from RefSeq and is a predicted model, not a curated record. Lineage: Eukaryota; Metazoa; Chordata; Mammalia; Rodentia; Cricetidae. The transcript is spliced from 2 exons.